Molecule: ribosomal RNA, 270 nt
Filed under: uncultured bacterium
Lineage: Bacteria
Description: partial 16S ribosomal RNA
Rfam family: Bacterial small subunit ribosomal RNA
Source: RNAcentral
UUUGAUGGCGACCGGCGCACGGGUGAGUAACACGUAUCCAACCUGCCGAUGACUCGGGGAUAGCCUUUCGAAAGAAAGAUUAAUACCCGAUGGCAUGGUUCUUCCGCAUGGUGGAACUAUUAAAGAAUUUCGGUCAUCGAUGGGGAUGCGUUCCAUUAGGUUGUUGGCGGGGUAACGGCCCACCAAGCCUUCGAUGGAUAGGGGUUCUGAGAGGAAGGUCCCCCACAUUGGAACUGAGACACGGUCCAAACUCCUACGGGAGGCAGCAUG